GAUGAACGCUGGCGGCGUGCCUAACACAUGCAAGUCGAGCGAACAGACCAUGCUCUUGCUCCUUUCUCGUUAGCCGCGCGCGUGUGAGUAACACGUGUAUCAUCUCCCUAUCUUACUGGUAUCUUUUCGGGACUCCGGCUCUAAUCCCGUAUAAUCUAUUGCACCGCAUUGUUCAAUAGUGAGAUUCGGUUUUUCUGUAUCUUCUCGCUGCUUCCGCGCUGCAUUAGCUAGUUGUUAAGGUAACGGCUUAUCAAGGCUACGAUGCGUAGCCGACCUGAGAGGGUGAUCGGCCACACUGGAACUGAGACACGGUCAAGACUACUAAGGGAGGCAGCAGUAGGGAAUCUUACGCAAUGGGCGAAAGCCUGACGGAGCAACGCCGCGUGAGUGAUGAAGGUCUUCGGAUCGUAAAACUCUGUUAUGAGGGAAGAACAAAUGUGUAAGUAAAUAUGCAGGGCUUGACGGUACCGAAUCAGAAAGCAACGGCUAACUACGUG
Molecule: ribosomal RNA, 497 nt
Filed under: uncultured bacterium
Lineage: Bacteria
Description: partial 16S ribosomal RNA
Rfam family: Bacterial small subunit ribosomal RNA
Source: RNAcentral